CUGCGCACAGCCACGGGCGACAACUGACUCUUGAACAAGAAAAUCGAUAUGGCUUUACGAAAAUUGAUUUUUCGCGUCUAUGCAUUGAACAGCACAUCUCAUUCUGUAAAGGUUUUGAAUACUCAUAUGUCUGCCUUUAGUGUAUUGAGUACUAACACCGACUUGAGAGUGAAACAUGACCGACACAACCUCUGCUUUUCUAUCAACCUGGACGGCGAAGGACAUCAGGAUAGCGCGGUUCUGCGCUACAAAUUUACGAGCAAGAAGGAGGUAGAUCUACUGUCAACUUAUGUACCCGAGUCUUUCAGGGGCAAAGGUGUUGCAGCUCUCCUGUCAAAGGCUGCCAUGGAUUUUCUGGUGGAAGAAAACCUCAAGGCCCAUAUAUCUUGUUGGUAUAUUAAGAAAUAUGUUGAGGAAACCCCACUUCUUUGUUAUAAGGAUCUUAUUAUAUUCUGAAUAAGCUGCAUCCUUGAUGAAUUGUGGUUGGAAAGAAUGGUAAUUGUAAAAAUACAAAAUACUUAAAAAUAAUAUAUACAGUACUAGUCAAAAGUUUGGACACACCAACUCAU
Salvelinus sp. IW2-2015 is the source of this 569-nucleotide non-coding RNA. The record is from RefSeq and is a predicted model, not a curated record. NCBI's taxonomy places the organism in Eukaryota, Metazoa, Chordata, Actinopteri, Salmoniformes, Salmonidae.